This 1716-nucleotide long non-coding RNA is filed under the name Otus sunia (Oriental scops-owl). RNAcentral describes it as "lncRNA (ENSOSUG00000009483.1)". The record is from RNAcentral. Lineage: Eukaryota; Metazoa; Chordata; Aves; Strigiformes; Strigidae.
AUGAAACCAUGUGGGAAAGGGUGGGGAGAGGAAAGAGGGGAAAGCAGCAGGUGGGAAGCGAAGGAAGGAGGUUGGACACGGAGGGGAGUGAGGGGCGGGACGCCUCCAGGAGAGACCUGGGGCCCGAAGGCAGGGCACGGCCACGCCCGCGCCCCGCAACGGCGGGGGAAGCGCGGGGGGGCGGCGCCGCGCGAACCGGAGGCGCCGCCGGGGCCUGGAGGUCCCGCCCGCGCCCCCCCGCGCCGCUCCGCCGGGGAGCGGGGACCCCCGGAGGGCGGGGGAGCUGCGGGGGAGGAGCUGCCCUUCGCCUUCGCCCGGUGCGAGGCAGCGCUCGGCGCGGUCCGACGGGCCGCCUUGAGCCGGGCCGGGCCGGCCGGGCCGCGGCGCCACAGAAAACAAGAACGACCUUGGAUGACAUUUCAAGUAUCAGUGCUCUGCAUGAAUUCCAGAAGCAACUUGUGCCAGCAGGAAGCGAGACAUCAUCUGAAUGAACGCAAGUUCUGCACAGAGAGAAUGUGAGGUUUAGAGAGAUUUUGCACCACCUAGUGAGCCACUGAUGCCUGCACCAGCAAGAGGGGAAGUGGCUGCCAGCGCCGAGCUCCAGGUGUGUCUUGGAUGUGCAAAAUGCACUCUCAGCACAAAAUUCAUGGAAGGUUUGGAAACUGCUGUUCCAGAAACACAGGUAUGCUACUGUCCUUUCAGCAGCACAGUUUCAGCCUCCGCACCAUGAGCAUCUCCUCUGCUUUAAAACUACUUCCUGCUGGUGCUGCUAGACCCACCUAGUGCAUGGAUUGGAAGAGGCCUUAACAAGCCACUAUCCCAUGGGCUCCUGGGGACAGCUACAUUAUGUGCAUGGAGGUCUGACAUCAGAACAGACUUUACUGCAUGAAUGUGUGAAGACACAUGACGAAAGCUGCAGACUGCAUGCUCUGCUCAGUGGGCUCUCACUUUCUCAGAAGGGAAAAGCCUGGUGUCAAAAAGCCUGCUCCAGGCUGGGACUACAUACAAGUCACAAUAUUUUCCUUAAAUAAUCAUAGAAUAUCUCACAUUGGAAGGGACCCAUAAGGAUCAUCAAGUCCAACUCCUGCUCCAUGCAGAACUACCAAAAACUAAAUCAUAUGACGUCAUCGCCCAGAUAUAUAAUGAUAUAUAAAAUAUAUUAUACAUAAUGUAAUGUGUAUAAUAUUUGAUAUUGUAUGUUGUAUAUUAUAUAUUACAUAUAUGUAAUAACCAGAAAUAUAACUGGAUGUAAAAAUGAUUCUCUCACUCUUAGAAAUCCUUGUACUACAGUAAGUAUCCAGUAUUUUUCUGUACCUGACAGUCACAGAAAUCUCAGGUGGCCAACUGCUCUCUACUCACGUCUUUAAGUGCCGGUGCACUGUUUGUCCAGAACUGAAUAGUAUAAAAGCUGCAUGUAAACAACCAACACAAAAGUAGGGUUUCCUUCCUCCACUCAAACCUCUGUGGGCAAAAGGCAAAAACCUGGAAUGGAAAGAAAAUGUCCACUUUCAACUGUCUCAUUCAAUGUAAAAGCCACAAAAUUCAUAACUGGACUUCCUUUUUCAAUAAAUUCUAUAUUACACUGUGGAAAGUAAAUGUUACAAACAUUUAACUUCCCUCCAACACAAAGUGCCUUCACAUAAGUAGUGAAUCAGACCAAACAUCUGUUUAGCUAAAUAUCUUGCUUCCUACAAUAACAUCUAAAGGGUAACCAUG